GUAGCCAACACUGUUUUUUAUAUAUAUAUAUAUAUAUAUAUAUAUAAUUUAUUUAUUUUUUAAUUGGGGUAGCCCCCAAAAUAUUGGGACAUAUAAAAAAGACAACUCUGUUCCACAGAGUAGCUGUUGACAUUAUAGUUGCGCAGGCACUUUGUUGACUCUAGAGAACCUCGGGCCAAUCGCACAUCCCUGUGACAGCGACUUUUGGAUUUCAUCCAUAUCAACUUUUGAUGCCAGUUUCUGCGCCUACCAUGGUGACCACGGGUAACAGGGAAUUAGGGUUCCAUUCCGUACAGGGACCCUGAGAAAUGGCUACCACAUGCAAGGAAGGCAGCAGGUGCGCAAAUGACCCACUCCAGACGCGGGAAGGUAGUGAC
Pelobates cultripes (western spadefoot toad) is the source of this 377-nucleotide non-coding RNA. The record is from the annotation of a GenBank genome assembly. NCBI's taxonomy places the organism in Eukaryota, Metazoa, Chordata, Amphibia, Anura, Pelobatidae.